AAUUGAAGAGUUUGAUCAUGGCUCAGAUUGAACGCUGGCGGCAAGCCUAACACAUGCAAGUCGAGCGGCAGCGAAAAGAAAGUUUUCUUUCUUGUCGGCGAGCGGCAAACGGGUGAGUAAUAUCUGGGGAUCUACCCGAAAAAGGGGGAUAACUACUAGAAAUGGUAGCUAAUACCGCAUAAUGUUGAAAAACCAAAGUGGGGGACCUUAUGGCCUCACGUUUUCGGAUGAACCCAGACGAGAUUAGCUUGUUGGUAGAGUAAUAGCCUACCAAGGCAACGAUCUCUAGCUGGUCUGAGAGGAUAACCAGCCACACUGGAACUGAGACACGGUCCAGACUCCUACGGGAGGCAGCAGUGGGGAAUAUUGCACAAUGGGCGCAAGCCUGAUGCAGCCAUGCCGCGUGUGUGAAGAAGGCCUUCGGGUUGUAAAGCACUUUCAGCGAGGAGGAAGGGUAAUGUGUUAAUAAGACAUUGCAUUGACGUUACUCGCAGAAGAAGCACCGGCUAACUCCGUGCCAGCAGCCGCGGUAAUACGGAGGGUGC
RNAcentral lists this ribosomal RNA (545 nucleotides) under Buchnera aphidicola. RNAcentral's name for it is "bacterial SSU rRNA". It matches the Rfam family "Bacterial small subunit ribosomal RNA", at positions 1 to 535 of the family's 1533-position model. The record is from RNAcentral. Lineage: Bacteria; Pseudomonadati; Pseudomonadota; Gammaproteobacteria; Enterobacterales; Erwiniaceae.